UCUGUGUGCAUGACCAUGGUCCUUCAAGUCCUAAACGAAUGAUUUGCAGAAUUUUUUGAAUUAGUUCAUGUUUAUCUCCUCAGAAAAGGGGGAUCCCUGAAGCACUUGGGAAGGAUGCCCCACCCAGGCACCAUUAGACCUCGAGCCUUCCCCCACCAAGAAAGGCUGUUCCAUGGUCUCUAGGUGAGUUCCCUCUCUUCAACCUCCCCAUACAUGUUUGCCUCCCCAAACCCUGCUCCAUGCCUAGGAACCCAGGGCUCCAGCACCUGAAUCUGCUCGAAGGGGAUCUCAAAGCUGAAGGACUCGUUGAAGUAUGGGUUCAGGGUCUUCUUCUUCACGGUUGUCUUCUUCUUCUUGAGCCGCUUGCCAUUCUGCAUCAGGUGGAUCUUCACGUACGGGUCUGCGGAGGGAGAAUCCCAACCCCAGAGAGGUUCCCCUUAGCCCCCAGCCUUCCUGCCGAAUGUACCAAGGCCUGCCCAGAGCAUCAGUCAAGAUGGGGUCUUCACUCCGCUGAGACCAGGCCCUCAGAAAGCCCCAAGUCAUGCCAUCCAGUUCAAAGGUGGCAAAAGGCUUCACCUCCAGGACCAACUGUGACCAGUGGGUUGUGGCUUCCUGAAGCAUUGGGUGGAGGGCAUUUCUGAGUCUAAGUAAGGCCUUGUGAGAAAGAGUCUGGGGAUUCAUCUGUGAUCCUGUACUGGGGAGUGGGUGGGGAGUGCUGAAGUCAGGACACACAUCUUCUGGGUCAUAAUCCCAAUCCGAUCCUCCUAAUCUUGCAGACAAGAAACUGAGGCCAAAGAACGGAAAUGACCUGCCCGAGGUCACACAGCGGGUCAGUGACAGAGCCAGGCUGGCACUGAAACGCGCUGGUUGGAGCCCAUGCCCAGGGCUGAUUCUCUGGGAAGGCAGCUGAGGCAGCAGGCUUCAUCCACUAGAGCCCUGUGCCAUGGGCCAGCCCCAUUCACUGCCAGGUCUCUCCACUCCUCAAUGGGCUGGCCGAGGUCCACUGUGUUCAUAGGCACCUUUACCUCUCCAAUGAUGUCAUGUUUGGAGAAGCGGUCAAAGUCAUAGAUGGCCAUCACCAGAGUUUUGCCCCCAAGCUCCUGGUAUGGCACCUGCAGGGCACAAGCAGAAUCAGAGGGGGCCAGAGCGACUCACGCACCUCCAGGGGUGCUAUGUGCAGGGGCCUGCAUUCCAGCCCACAGGGUCCAGCAGCAUUUCUUGCAGAUGCAGAAGCAGCAGGUGAGAAGCAGGAGCCCAGCAACCACAGCAAUGGCGAUCAGUGCCCAGGGUGGUACUGCCCACACAAAGAAGAUCCCAGGGUCAGCAGUGCCAUGCCUUGCAGCCCCUGACCCCGUAGCAUUGGGAAAAAUGGGUGAGGAAUAUGACUGCCAUCCCACAAUGCCCACACCCCACAUUUUAAAAGCCACACACCCAUGAGUGAUUUGUAUGUAAGGUGCAUAUACUUUGCAUGCCUU
RNAcentral lists this long non-coding RNA (1475 nucleotides) under Pan troglodytes (chimpanzee). Its description in RNAcentral is "long non-coding RNA NONPTRT000617". Lineage: Eukaryota; Metazoa; Chordata; Mammalia; Primates; Hominidae. The record is from RNAcentral.